Molecule: transfer RNA, 114 nt
Filed under: Lachnospiraceae bacterium
Lineage: Bacteria; Bacillati; Bacillota; Clostridia; Lachnospirales; Lachnospiraceae
Description: tRNA-OTHER
Source: RNAcentral
AGGGCUAUAGCUCAGUUGAUAGAGCAGGUAAAAAGGAGCUUUGUCAAAAGCUUUUGCAGCAGCUUUCUAUUGGAUUGAUUCCUCGUGUCACCGGUUCGAGUCCGGUUAGCCCUA